RNAcentral lists this ribosomal RNA (279 nucleotides) under uncultured bacterium. RNAcentral describes it as "partial 16S ribosomal RNA". It matches the Rfam family "Bacterial small subunit ribosomal RNA", at positions 506 to 784 of the family's 1533-position model. The record is from RNAcentral.
UGCCAGCAGCCGCGGUAACACGGGGGGCGCAAGCGUUAUUCGGAAUUAUUGGGCGUAAAGGGCGCGUAGGCGGUCCGCUCAGUCAGGUGUGAAAUCCCUCGGCUCAACCGGGGAACUGCAUCUGAUACUGGCGGACUCGAGGACGGUAGGGGUGAGCGGAACUCCAGGUGGAGCGGUGAAAUGCGUAGAUAUCUGGAGGAACACCGGUGGCGAAAGCGGCUCACUGGGCCGUCUCUGACGCUGAGGCGCGAAAGCUAGGGUAGCAAACGGGAUUAGAUA